CUCCAGACUAGACAAGAGGACAGGGGAAUCGACUUUCCCUGUGUUGCUUGGAUCAACGACACAUCAGAGUUGAAUUGUGGAAAACCAAGAAUAUCUCCAUGCCAUCAUCCCUCAGUACAUGUGGAUGAAGUACCAUGACUGAUCAUUUUGUGUUAGAAAGUUUGAUUUUAAGAACUGCUGCUUGAGUUGCUGAUUUGAAUUUCACAUAGAAAUCAUUCAGUGAAUUCUGAUGUGGGAUUAGGACAGAAUCUCUAAUAAUUUUCAAAUGGCCUCAAUCACACUCCUAACAUUUUGUACUAUUUAUUUACGAGAAGCAUUCUCAGUAUUGACAGUUAUAAAAUCAAAAUAUUGACCAAUCCUGAAAGGUGUUAGAGAUGCUGUAGGUCCCACAUAUCAAAUAUUCAGCCAAGAUUUGAUUCAUUUAUGUAAAAAUAAGCAAGUACAGUGUCAAAUUAAUACACAAAUUUGUUUUUAAUAAAUCAUAAAUUUAUAUGUACACUAAAGAAUUUGCUUUAAAAUAAAUUUCUUUAUGAUUUAUUAUC
Molecule: non-coding RNA, 542 nt
Organism: Cricetulus griseus (Chinese hamster)
Lineage: Eukaryota; Metazoa; Chordata; Mammalia; Rodentia; Cricetidae
Source: RefSeq, a predicted model, not a curated record